GACGAACGCUGGCGGCGUGCUUAACACAUGCAAGUCGAACGGGCCUGUCUUCUUUUUUGGGGGUGGGUUGAGUGGCGAACGGGUGAGUAUCACGUGAGUAACCUGCCCUUCGGUCCUGGAUAACCGCUUGAAAGGGCGGCUAAUACGGGGUGGUCCGGUUGGUCCGCAUGGGCUGGUCGGGAUAGAUUCACUGUUUUUGGUGUUUCGGCGGGGGAUGGGCUCGCGGCCUAUCAGCUUGUUGGUGGGGUGAUGGCCUACCAAGGCGGUGACGGGUAGCCGGCCUGAGAGGGUGGGCGGCCAAACUGGGACUGAGAUACGGCCCAGACUCCUGCGGGAGGCAGCAGUGGGGGGUAUUGCACAAUGGGCGGAAGCCUGAUGCAGCGACGUCGCGUGAGGGAUGGAGGCCUUCGGGUUGUGAACCUCUGUUUCCGGUGGUGAAGGCCCUGUCCGUGUGGUGGGGUUGACGGUAGCCGGGGAUGAAGCGCCGGCUAACUACGUG
This 499-nucleotide ribosomal RNA is filed under the name uncultured bacterium. Its description in RNAcentral is "partial 16S ribosomal RNA". It matches the Rfam family "Bacterial small subunit ribosomal RNA", at positions 28 to 507 of the family's 1533-position model. The record is from RNAcentral.